Molecule: ribosomal RNA, 433 nt
Filed under: uncultured bacterium
Lineage: Bacteria
Description: partial 16S ribosomal RNA
Rfam family: Bacterial small subunit ribosomal RNA
Source: RNAcentral
AACGAACGCUGGCGGCAUGCCUAACACAUGCAAGUCGAACGAGACCUUCGGGUCUAGUGGCGCACGGGUGCGUAACACGUUGGAAUCUGCCCUUUGCUUCGGAAUAACAUUUAGAAAUGACUGCUAAUACCGGAUGAUGUCGAAAGACCAAAGAUUUAUCGGCAAAGGAUGAGCCCGCGUAGGAUUAGGUAGUUGGUGGGGUAAAGGCCUACCAAGCCGACGAUCCUUAGCUGGUCUGAGAGGAUGAUCAGCCACACUGGGACUGAGACACGGCCCAGACUCAUACGGGAGGCAGCAGUGGGGAAUAUUGGACAAUGGGCGAAAGGCUGAACCAGCAAUGCCGCGUGAGUGAUGAAGGCCUUAGGGUUGUAAAGCUAUUUUACCAGGGAUGAUAAUGACAGUACCUGGAGAAUAAGCUCCGGCUAACUCCGUG